RNAcentral lists this long non-coding RNA (109 nucleotides) under Aquila chrysaetos chrysaetos. RNAcentral describes it as "lncRNA (ENSACCG00020000430.1)". The record is from RNAcentral. Lineage: Eukaryota; Metazoa; Chordata; Aves; Accipitriformes; Accipitridae.
GACAAGUCCGCUUAAAGGCAACACUGCUUAAUACGGAGAAGCACUUGAGCGGUAGGAUACAGCCGUCAAGCCUGUACAUCUAGGAGAUGAUUUUGGAAGUGCUAAGAAG